AUUGAACGCUGGCGGCAGGCCUAACACAUGCAAGUCGAGCGGAGCGGCAGACGGGUGCGUGAUGCCUAGGAAUCUGCCUGGUAGUGGGGGCUAACGUCCGGUAACGGGCGCUAAUACCGCAUACUAUCAGAUGAGCCUCGGUCGGAUUAGCUAGUUGGUGGUGUAAAGGCCUACCAAGGCGACGGUCCGUAACUGGUCUGAGAGGAUGAUCAGUCACACUGGAACUGAGACACGGUCCAGACUCCUACGGGAGGCAGCAGUGGGGAAUAUUGGACAAUGGGCGAAAGCCUGAUCCAGCCAUGCCGCGUGUGUGAAGAAGGUCUUCGGAUUGUAAAGCACUUUAAGUUGGGAGGCGUUACCAACAGAAUAAGCACCGGCUAACUUCGUGCCAGCAGCCGCGGUAAUAC
This 407-nucleotide ribosomal RNA is filed under the name uncultured bacterium. RNAcentral describes it as "partial 16S ribosomal RNA". It matches the Rfam family "Bacterial small subunit ribosomal RNA", at positions 30 to 526 of the family's 1533-position model. The record is from RNAcentral.